RNAcentral lists this ribosomal RNA (303 nucleotides) under uncultured bacterium. Its description in RNAcentral is "bacterial SSU rRNA". It matches the Rfam family "Bacterial small subunit ribosomal RNA", at positions 28 to 326 of the family's 1533-position model. The record is from RNAcentral.
GACGAACGCUGGCGGCGUGCUUAACACAUGCAAGUCGAACGAGAUCCAUGGAGUAGCAAUACUCCGGAAGAUCUAGUGGCGAACGGGUGAGUAACACGUGAGCAACCUGCCCCAAAGACUGGGAUAACCCCGGGAACCGGAACUAAUACCGGAUGUCCUCGUCGGAUCGCAUGGUCUGAUGAGGAAAUGAUUUCGCUUUGGGAGGGGCUCGCGGGAUAUCAGCNGUUGGUGGGGUAACGGCCUACCAAGGCUUCGACGUCUAGCUGGUCUGAGAGGACGAUCAGCCACACUGGGACUGAGACA